UUCGCCCUUAGAGUUUGAUCCUGGCUCAGGACGAACGCUGGCGGCGCGCCUAACACAUGCAAGUCGAACGAGCGAGAGAGAGCUUGCUUUCUCGAGCGAGUGGCGAACGGGUGAGUAACGCGUGAGGAACCUGCCUCAAAGAGGGGGACAACAGUUGGAAACGACUGCUAAUACCGCAUAAGCCCACGGCUCGGCAUCGAGCAGAGGGAAAAGGAGCAAUCCGCUUUGAGAUGGCCUCGCGUCCGAUUAGCUAGUUGGUGAGGUAAUGGCCCACCAAGGCAACGAUCGGUAGCCGGACUGAGAGGUUGAACGGCCACAUUGGGACUGAGACACGGCCCAGACUCCUACGGGAGGCAGCAGUGGGGAAUAUUGCACAAUGGGGGAAACCCUGAUGCAGCGACGCCGCGUGGAGGAAGAAGGUCUUCGGAUUGUAAACUCCUGUUGUUGAGGAAGAUAAUGACGGUACUCAACAAGGAAGUGACGGCUAACUACGUGCCAGCAGCCGCGGUAAAACGUAGGUCACAAGCGUUGUCCGGAAUUACUGGGUGUAAAGGGAGCGCAGGCGGGAAGACAAGUUGGAAGUGAAAUCUAUGGGCUCAACCCAUAAACUGCUUUCAAAACUGUUUUUCUUGAGUAGUGCAGAGGUAGGCGGAAUUCCCGGUGUAGCGGUGGAAUGCGUAGAUAUCGGGAGGAACACCAGUGGCGAAGGCGGCCUACUGGGGCACCAACUGACGCUGAGGCUCGAAAGUGUGGGUAGCAAACAGGAUUAGAUACCCUGGUAGUCCACACCGUAAACGAUGAUUACUAGGUGUUGGAGGAUUGACCCCUUCAGUGCCGCAGUUAACACAAUAAGUAAUCCACCUGGGGAGUACGACCGCAAGGUUGAAACUCAAAGGAAUUGACGGGGGCCCGCACAAGCAGUGGAGUAUGUGGUUUAAUUCGACGCAACGCGAAGAACCUUACCAAGUCUUGACAUCCUGCGACGAUGCUGGAAACAGUAUUUUCCUUCGGGACGCAGAGACAGGUGGUGCAUGGUUGUCGUCAGCUCGUGUCGUGAGAUGUUGGGUUAAGUCCCGCAACGAGCGCAACCCUUACUGUCAGUUACUACGCAAGAGGACUCUGGCAGGACUGCCGUUGACAAAACGGAGGAAGGUGGGGAUGACGUCAAAUCAUCAUGCCCUUUAUGACUUGGGCUACACACGUACUACAAUGGCGUUAAACAAAGAGAAGCAAGACCGCGAGGUGGAGCAAAACUCAGAAACAACGUCCCAGUUCGGACUGCAGGCUGCAACUCGCCUGCACGAAGUCGGAAUUGCUAGUAAUCGUGGAUCAGCAUGCCACGGUGAAUACGUACCCGGGCCUUGCACACACCGCCCGUCA
RNAcentral lists this ribosomal RNA (1380 nucleotides) under uncultured bacterium. RNAcentral's name for it is "16S ribosomal RNA". It matches the Rfam family "Bacterial small subunit ribosomal RNA". The record is from RNAcentral.